Molecule: ribosomal RNA, 300 nt
Filed under: uncultured Pyrobaculum sp.
Lineage: Archaea; Thermoproteati; Thermoproteota; Thermoprotei; Thermoproteales; Thermoproteaceae
Description: partial 16S ribosomal RNA
Rfam family: Bacterial small subunit ribosomal RNA
Source: RNAcentral
GGCUAACGCGGUGGUAGAAGCCGGGGGAAAUCGGGGGGGAAAGCGUUACUCGGAAUAACUGGGCGUAAAGUGCAGUUAGGCGGAUUAAUAAGUUUGAAGUGAAAUCCGAUAGCGUAACUAUAGAACUGCUGUGAAAACUGUUAAUCUAGAAUGUGGGAGAGGUAGAUGGAAUUUCUGGUGUAGGGGGAAAAUCCGUAGAGAUCAGAAGGAAUACCGAUUGCGAAGGCGAUCUACUGGAACAUUAUUGACGCUGAGAUGCGAAAGCGUGGGGAGCAAACAGGAUUAGAUACCCGGGUAGUC